Molecule: ribosomal RNA, 206 nt
Filed under: uncultured bacterium
Lineage: Bacteria
Description: partial 16S ribosomal RNA
Rfam family: Bacterial small subunit ribosomal RNA
Source: RNAcentral
UGCGUAGACGGCUAUCUAAGUCGGGUGUGAAAGCCCCGGGCUCAACCUGGGAAUUGCAUUCGAGACUGAAUAGCUAGGGUGCGGUAGAGGGAAGCGGAAUUUCCGGUGUAGCGGUGAAAUGCGUAGAUAUCGGAAGGAACAUCAGUGGCGAAAGCGGCUUCCUGGACCAGCACCGACGUUCAGGCACGAAAGCGUGGGAGCAAACA